AUUUACUUCGCGUGCUGAUUGAUUGUUUGAUUGUUUCAAAUACAAUGUGGGCAUUUUUAAAUGAUUGCUGCGGCAUCUGGAGCCUAUUGGGAUUCUGGAUAAUUAUCUUCAUGGGUCUGCCUGCUGUGGUGGCUUUUCGUUCCGACUUUGACACCAUGGAGCUGCAGCGAUGUCGCCUUUCGGGCUUGGACACCAGCAGCAUCGCCCUGUUUCUGGACGCUCUUUGAUGAUCACAAAAGGAAGUACGAAAGGCAAGGGGAGCAGGAUGUGGAGGAGAAGGAUGUGGACAAGCAGUAACAAAAAUGAAGCAUUGCAAAAGGAAAGGAAAGGAGAGGAAGCGGAGCUGAAGCUGAAGCUGGUUUCAGGCAAAAUUAAACAUAAUCAUGUGCUGCAUAAAUAUGCGAGUGGAGUGGGGAGUGGAGUGGGGAGUGGAGUGUGGCCCUGCUAUUGAUAUUUGGCUAAAAGCAGCAGCAGAGCAGCGACUGCCAGAGUUUGCACAGUGCAAACAGUGUGCAUUUCUGGAAGAGGGACCCACAUUCACAUACACAUACACUGGACACCCAGCACCCCAGCACCCACACCCCACACCCACACCCCACACCCACACCCCACACCCACCGACAGUAGUUAGAGUUCCAAAUCAAACAGUACUGCAACCCCCCGCACACACAUACGACACGGUCCGAUGAAUAUGUUUAUGCCAGUUGGCUUUGCAAUAACUUCAUAAAUAUUCACGAGGAACCAACUCUGGUACAUGCUGCAUGCUACAUGCUACAUGGCACCAUGGCUGCAUGGCCACAUGGCUACCAAUCCACAAAUCGAUGCACACAAAAUUUAAAUUCAAAUUCAAAUUCGUUAAAACAGAAGAGACAAACUGACAGAGACACAGAAGAGGAUAAUGGGACGAGAUUUAAUGUACAGGCAGAGGCACCGGCACAGGCAGAGGCACAGGCAGAGGCACAGGCAGAGGCACCGGCACAGGCGAUGGAAUGAAAUCAUAUAAAAUAUCAAUAAACCACACACAAAUUUAUGGCAGAAACAAACACACAGAGUGAGAGGGAGAGAGCAGCAGCAGGAGCAGCAGCAGGAGGAGCAGCAGGAGCAACAGAAGAAGAUCCCGAGACACAACCAGAGCCAGAGCCAGAGCCACAGCCAGCGGCAAAACGAUGACGAGCUGACGAUGUCAUUGUAAAUACCAUAAAGAAAAUCGUUGCCGACGUGCUGUGUCCAUGUCCCGUACUGCACCGUGUGCCCUUGUCUGUGUGUGUGUGUGUCUGUUGCCUCUUGCCGGUGCUUUCCUUACCCUUCGUAGCACGACCAAAGGAGCAUCCGCAUCGCAUCCAGGAAGCCCUGCAAAAUGUUAUUUAUUGGAAUUGUGUAAUAAAUGUUACCGAAAGUG
Molecule: long non-coding RNA, 1399 nt
Organism: Drosophila obscura
Lineage: Eukaryota; Metazoa; Arthropoda; Insecta; Diptera; Drosophilidae
Exons: 3
Source: RefSeq, a predicted model, not a curated record